GCUUAACACAUGCAAGUCGAGCGGUAACAGACAUUUUGAUUUUGCUUGCAAAAUCUCGUGCUGACGAGCGGCGAACGGGUGAGUAACGCGUAGGAAUCUACCUAGUAGAAGGGGAUAGCCCGAGGAAACUCGGAUUAAUACCGUAUACGUCCUUAGGGAGAAAGAGGGCUUAGCUUUGAUGCUCUCGCUAUUAGAUGAGCCUGCGUAAGAUUAGCUUGUUGGUGAGGUAAAGGCUCACCAAGGCGACGAUCUUUAGCUGGUCUGAGAGGACGAUCAGCCACAUUGGGACUGAGACACGGCCCAGACUCCUACGGGAGGCAGCAGUGGGGAAUAUUGGACAAUGGGCGCAAGCCUGAUCCAGCCAUACCGCGUGUGUGAAGAAGGCCUUCGGGUUGUAAAGCACUUUAAGUAAGGAAGAAAAGAGUAUUGUUAAUACCAUUACUCCGUGACAUUACUUACAGAAUAAGGACCGG
RNAcentral lists this ribosomal RNA (473 nucleotides) under uncultured Pseudomonadota bacterium. RNAcentral describes it as "bacterial SSU rRNA". It matches the Rfam family "Bacterial small subunit ribosomal RNA", at positions 46 to 496 of the family's 1533-position model. Lineage: Bacteria; Pseudomonadati; Pseudomonadota. The record is from RNAcentral.